Non-coding RNA from Larimichthys crocea (large yellow croaker), 54 nucleotides. Lineage: Eukaryota; Metazoa; Chordata; Actinopteri; Sciaenidae. The record is from Rfam.
UGUUCCCUUCUCUGUGAGUCGCUUUGGAUAAAAGUGCCUGCUAAAUGGCUAAAU